RNAcentral lists this ribosomal RNA (200 nucleotides) under uncultured bacterium. RNAcentral describes it as "partial 16S ribosomal RNA". It matches the Rfam family "Bacterial small subunit ribosomal RNA", at positions 524 to 722 of the family's 1533-position model. The record is from RNAcentral.
UACAGAGGGUGCAAGCGUUGUUCGGAAUUAUUGGGCGUAAAGGGAGUGUAGGCUGUGAGGUAAGUCUUCUGUGAAAUCUACGGGCUUAGCCUGUAACGUGCAGAGGAAAACUGCUUCGCUUGAGUGUCGGAGAGGAUAGGGGAAUACCCGGUGUAGAGGUGAAAUUCGUAGAGAUCGGGUGGAACACCAGUGGCGAAGGC